RNAcentral lists this ribosomal RNA (1476 nucleotides) under Salmonella enterica. RNAcentral's name for it is "partial 23S ribosomal RNA". It matches the Rfam family "Bacterial large subunit ribosomal RNA", at positions 711 to 2167 of the family's 2925-position model. The record is from RNAcentral. RNAcentral also lists the same sequence under 2 other names. Lineage: Bacteria; Pseudomonadati; Pseudomonadota; Gammaproteobacteria; Enterobacterales; Enterobacteriaceae.
AGACCCGAAACCCGGUGAUCUAGCCAUGGGCAGGUUGAAGGUUGGGUAACACUAACUGGAGGACCGAACCGACUAAUGUUGAAAAAUUAGCGGAUGACCUGUGGCUGGGGGUGAAAGGCCAAUCAAACCGGGAGAUAGCUGGUUCUCCCCGAAAGCUAUUUAGGUAGCGCCUCGUGAAUUCAUCUCCGGGGGUAGAGCACUGUUUCGGCUAGGGGGCCAUCCCGGCUUACCAACCCGAUGCAAACUGCGAAUACCGGAGAAUGUUAUCACGGGAGACACACGGCGGGUGCUAACGUCCGUCGUGAAGAGGGAAACAACCCAGACCGCCAGCUAAGGUCCCAAAGUCAUGGUUAAGUGGGAAACGAUGUGGGAAGGCCCAGACAGCCAGGAUGUUGGCUUAGAAGCAGCCAUCAUUUAAAGAAAGCGUAAUAGCUCACUGGUCGAGUCGGCCUGCGCGGAAGAUGUAACGGGGCUAAACCAUGCACCGAAGCUGCGGCAGCGACACUCAGGUGUUGUUGGGUAGGGGAGCGUUCUGUAAGCCUGCGAAGGUGGCCUGUGAGGGUUGCUGGAGGUAUCAGAAGUGCGAAUGCUGACAUAAGUAACGAUAAAGCGGGUGAAAAGCCCGCUCGCCGGAAGACCAAGGGUUCCUGUCCAACGUUAAUCGGGGCAGGGUGAGUCGACCCCUAAGGCGAGGCCGAAAGGCGUAGUCGAUGGGAAACGGGUUAAUAUUCCCGUACUUGGUGUUACUGCGAAGGGGGGACGGAGAAGGCUAUGUUGGCCGGGCGACGGUUGUCCCGGUUUAAGCGUGUAGGUGUGUGUUCCAGGUAAAUCCGGUUCACUUUAACACUGAGGUGUGACGACGAGGCACUACGGUGCUGAAGCAACAAAUGCCCUGCUUCCAGGAAAAGCCUCUAAGCAUCAGGUAACAUCAAAUCGUACCCCAAACCGACACAGGUGGUCAGGUAGAGAAUACCAAGGCGCUUGAGAGAACUCGGGUGAAGGAACUAGGCAAAAUGGUGCCGUAACUUCGGGAGAAGGCACGCUGACACGUAGGUGAAGUGAUUUACUCAUGGAGCUGAAGUCAGUCGAAGAUACCAGCUGGCUGCAACUGUUUAUUAAAAACACAGCACUGUGCAAACACGAAAGUGGACGUAUACGGUGUGACGCCUGCCCGGUGCCGGAAGGUUAAUUGAUGGGGUCAGCGCAAGCGAAGCUCCUGAUCGAAGCCCCGGUAAACGGCGGCCGUAACUAUAACGGUCCUAAGGUAGCGAAAUUCCUUGUCGGGUAAGUUCCGACCUGCACGAAUGGCGUAAUGAUGGCCAGGCUGUCUCCACCCGAGACUCAGUGAAAUUGAACUCGCUGUGAAGAUGCAGUGUACCCGCGGCAAGACGGAAAGACCCCGUGAACCUUUACUAUAGCUUGACACUGAACAUUGAGCCUUGAUGUGUAGGAUAGGUGGGAGGCUUUGAAGUGUGG